This 395-nucleotide ribosomal RNA is filed under the name uncultured bacterium. RNAcentral describes it as "bacterial SSU rRNA". It matches the Rfam family "Bacterial small subunit ribosomal RNA", at positions 505 to 898 of the family's 1533-position model. The record is from RNAcentral.
GUGUCAGCAGCCGCGGUAAUACGGAGGGCGCAAGCGUUGUUCGGAAUCAUUGGGCGUAAAGCGCGUGCAGGCGGCUUGGUAAGUCGGGUGUGAAAUCCCGGGGCUCAACCCCGGAACUGCACCCGAUACUGCCUCGCUCGAGUCCCGGAGAGGAUGGCGGAAUUUCCGGUGUAGAGGUGAAAUUCGUAGAUAUCGGAAGGAACACCAGCGGCGAAGGCGGCCAUCUGGACGGUGACUGACGCUCAGACGCGAAAGCGUGGGGAGCAAACAGGAUUAGAUACCCUGGUAGUCCACGCUGUAAACGUUGGGUGCUAGGCGUCGUGGGUAUUGACCCCCGCGGUGCCGAAGCUAACGCAUUAAGCACCCCGCCUGGGGAGUACGGUCGCAAGACUAAA